GAGGGUGUAGUUCAAUUAGUAGAACAUCUCGACAAAAUCGAGAAGAUGUGGGUUCGAAUCCCGCCACCCUCA
This 72-nucleotide transfer RNA is filed under the name Candidatus Saccharimonadota bacterium. RNAcentral's name for it is "Candidatus Saccharibacteria bacterium tRNA-OTHER". It matches the Rfam family "tRNA". From Rfam's summary of the family: Transfer RNA (tRNA) molecules are approximately 80 nucleotides in length. Lineage: Bacteria; Candidatus Saccharimonadota. The record is from RNAcentral.